RNAcentral lists this long non-coding RNA (1657 nucleotides) under Anas platyrhynchos (mallard). RNAcentral's name for it is "lncRNA (ENSAPLG00020001036.1)". The record is from RNAcentral. Lineage: Eukaryota; Metazoa; Chordata; Aves; Anseriformes; Anatidae.
AGGUGGGGGUCGUGCUGAUUACCGUGGUGCUGGUGGUGGUCGUCAGCGUUGACUGGGGAAGCGUAGAGGCGGUAGUGGGAGAUGCUGGAGUAGGUGUCGCCGCAGUGGACGUUUCGACCGGAAUGGACGUUGUGGAGGACGUUGUGGUCAUUUCUGCAGUGGUCGUGGGUCUGCUUUUACUGCUGGUGGGUGAGGUGGGCGCUGUGGAUGUGCUGAGGAUGGUCGUGCCCGGUGUCGGAGGGACACUGGUCUUGAUCACAACCGUGGUGCCAGCACUGGUUGGCGUUGUCGGCUCGGGUAGUGUAGAGGAAGGGGUGGGUGUGAUGGUGGUGGUGCCUUUUGUUUCAGGGGGAGAGGUCUUGAUGGUGCUGGCACUGCUGUUGGGUGUGAUGGGCUCCGUUGGUGUGGAAAUGAUGGUGGUUGUGGGCUCUGUCCCAGGGGGAGAGGUCUUGAUGGUGCUGGCACUGCUGUUGGGUGUGAUGGGCUCUGUUGGUGUGGAAAUGAUGGUGGUUGUGGGCACUGUCACGGGGGUGGAGGUCUUGGCGCUGCUGGCACUGCUUGGGGCUGUGAAUGUGGUUGUGCUCUGUGCCAGGGAGGUGGGGGUCGUGCUGAUUACCGUGGUGCUGGUGGUGGUCGUCAGCGUUGACUGGGGAAGCGUAGAGGCGGUAGUGGGAGAUGCUGGAGUAGGUGUCGCCGCAGUGGACGUUUCGACCGGAAUGGACGUUGUGGAGGACGUUGUGGUCAUUUCUGCAGUGGUCGUGGGUCUGCUUUUACUGCUGGUGGGUGAGGUGGGCGCUGUGGAUGUGCUGAGGAUGGUCGUGCCCGGUGUCGCAGGGACACUGGUCUUGAUCACAACCGUGGUGCCAGCACUGGUUGGCGUUGUCGGCUCAGGGUAGUGUAGAGGAAGGGGUGGGUGUGAUGGUGGUGCUGCCUUUUGUUUCAGGGGGAGAGGUCUUUAUGGUGAUGGCACUGCUGGUAGGUGUGGUGAUGGUGGUGCUCGUGCCUUCUGUCAGAGGGACGGAGGUCUUGAUGGUGCUGGCACUGCUGUUGGGUGUGAUGGGCUGUGUUGGUGUGUUGAUGAUAGUGGUUGUGCCUAUUGUGACAGAGGGAUAUGUCUUGAUGGUGGUUGCUCUACUGCUAGUUGUGGUUGGUUCUUUUGGUGUGGUUGUGCUUUCUGAUAUAUUUGUGACUUUCGUUGUUAAUGUUGUUAUGUCCGAUUUUUGAGGUCCUGUUUUUCGUGUAGUUGUUGGUUGUGUUUUUGUUUGUAUUGUAAAUGGUGUUUCUAUAGCAGUAGUUGUUUGUAUUUCUGAACAUGGUUUAUAACUACAGCAUAGUAUUCUGAUAUUGUAGUUAUAGCAUUGCUUAGAUUUUUGGUCUUUGUUAUUGCAUAUCAAUCCUCUGGUUUGACUGCAUUCUACUAUUUGAUCAAGAUAUUUUAGUUCUUUAUCUGGGUGUUCUUCUGCUCUGCAUUGAACUCCACUUGGGUUUUUACAAACACUGUAUCCAUUGUUUUUUAGAUUUUCGUAAUUUUCAUAGUCUCCACUGUCCUCUCCGGUUUUAGGCUGUGUGCUAUCAUACCAUUCUGACCAUUCACAUACAUUCUUCACACAUACAGUUGUCACUGGUGUUGUGGUUGUGAUUUCUGUAAUUAAAAAGA